Molecule: ribosomal RNA, 496 nt
Filed under: uncultured bacterium
Lineage: Bacteria
Description: partial 16S ribosomal RNA
Rfam family: Bacterial small subunit ribosomal RNA
Source: RNAcentral
GACGAACGCUGGCGGCGGGCCUAAUACAUGCAAGUUGAGCGCCAGCGCAUUGAGCGUGUGCUCUCAGGGGGGGCGACGGACGGGCGGGUAACGAGUGGGGCAUCAGCUUUUUAUCGGGGGACAACAUUUGGAGACGAAUGCUAAUAAUGCAUCAAACCUUUAACCACAGAUAUUAAGGUUGCAUGGUGCCAUUGCAUCACUCAAAGACUGUCCGACGUUGAGUUAGUUAGUGGGGUAGGUAACGGCCAAGGAAGGCGAGGGUCCGUGGCGGGCCUGAGAGGAUGAUCAGCCACACUGGAACUGAGACACGGUCCAGACUCCUACGGGAGGCAGCAGUGGGGAAUAUUGGACAAUGGGCGCAAGCCUGAUCCAGCCAUACCGCGUGGGUGAAGAAGGCCUUCGGGUUUUAAAGCCCUUUUGUUGGGAAAGACGAUCAGCAGGGUAAUACCCCGAUGUUCUGACGGUACCCAAAGAAUAAGCACCGGCUAACUUCGUG